This 496-nucleotide ribosomal RNA is filed under the name uncultured bacterium. RNAcentral describes it as "partial 16S ribosomal RNA". It matches the Rfam family "Bacterial small subunit ribosomal RNA", at positions 29 to 507 of the family's 1533-position model. The record is from RNAcentral.
AUGAACGCUGGCGGCGUGCCUAAUCCAUGCAAGUCGAGCGAACAGAUGAGGAGCUUGCUCCUCUGACGUUAGCGGCGGACGGGUGAGUAACACGUGGAUAACCUACCUAUAAGACUGGGAUAACUUCGGGAAACCGGAGCUAAUACCGGAUAAUAUAUUGAACCGCAUGGUUCAAUAGUGAAAGACGGUUUUGCUGUCACUUAUAGAUGGAUCCGCGCCGCAUUAGCUAGUUGGUAAGGUAACGGCUUACCAAGGCAACGAUGCGUAGCCGACCUGAGAGGGUGAUCGGCCACACUGGAACUGAGACACGGUCCAGACUCCUACGGGAGGCAGCAGUAGGGAAUCUUCCGCAAUGGGCGAAAGCCUGACAGAGCAACGCCGCGUGAGUGAUGAAGGUCUUCGGAUCGUAAAACUCUGUUAUUAGGGAAGAACAAAUGUGUAAGUAACUAUGCACGUCUUGACGGUACCUAAUCAGAAAGCCACGGCUAACUACGUG